Long non-coding RNA from Engraulis encrasicolus (European anchovy), 1109 nucleotides. RefSeq lists it as uncharacterized. NCBI's taxonomy places the organism in Eukaryota, Metazoa, Chordata, Actinopteri, Clupeiformes, Engraulidae. The transcript is spliced from 2 exons. The record is from RefSeq and is a predicted model, not a curated record.
UCUAUGAGGGUUUAUGUGCUCGCACAAACAACGUGCUUUCGUCAUCUGCAUGUUGCAACUUGCGCGGGAGCAUGAUGAGCAUUCUACAAACAAGAUGGCGAGUGUUGAGUGCGAGAAUACGGCAGUGUCUCUGAAAGAAGUGCCCUUUCGUCGUCGUACUACAAAUGCGGAGAAAGCAACGAUCAAACAGAUAGGACCAUUAGACCUGAAACGCCAAGCAAGUGUCUUCGAAAGUGGAGGAGUCCUACACACGAUCUUUCAACAAGAACUGGUACCUCCGAAACCCCUGGCUAGCCGGCUGUGUAGCCAAUGCACUUUUUUUGCUACCCUUGCCUUCGCUUCCACCCAGAAAACAACACGGCAGACGGUACAGCCUGGACAUUAAAAUAGGCUCUCGGAGAAAGUUAAGAGGCACGAGAAAGCAAGGAAUCACACGGACAGCUGUCUCAAGUUUUCAGCCAUAGCUGAGUGGGAUCUCAAGUUGUUUUUUUUUCCACGGUCCACCCAGGCUGACCAGCAUUCUCGAUCAGGUCGUCACUCGAAGGGCCCUCCAGAGGUUCACAAGCAGUGUGCUGGUCAUAGGGACUCCACCUCACAUCACCAGGUCCAGGGAGAACCAUCUACCAAACGAGCAAGAACAGCCUUGGGAGAGGAAGAGAAGCAAAGGAUGGUCAAAGAGAUCUGUGACACCGUUUUGACUGCAAGAAGGGUUUUUCCUUCACUGACACCCUGGUUAGUGCCACCUUGCUGCAAGGAGAUCUGUUUGGUGCUCAUGCUCUACAUGCCACUGUGAAGGCAUACCCCAUAUUGGAUCAAGCAAAGCUGCACACAGAGCUCUCCCUCUUCUACGAAAACCCUGAGUGUAGGGGAUGCUGAGGUGCACUGGCACUUUACUAGCUGCUUGUAUGUGGACAUUGGAUGUUGUUUGAUAUAUUUUAUCAUUGUAUCUUCUGUGUGUUAUAUUUCUGUAUUUGGACUUUUACUGCUACCCACAGAGCAUUGUGAACUGUGAUAACAUAUUUUAGACACCCUUCUCUUUGUAUCUUGCUUGUCUACCAUUGUGCCUUUGUUCAAAUACCUUUUUUAUUCAGUAAAACAUUUGAAUUUGA